Long non-coding RNA from Cannabis sativa, 295 nucleotides. RefSeq lists it as uncharacterized. NCBI's taxonomy places the organism in Eukaryota, Viridiplantae, Streptophyta, Magnoliopsida, Rosales, Cannabaceae. The record is from RefSeq and is a predicted model, not a curated record. The transcript has 2 exons.
AGGAUUACCGGCACCUGGUCAGGAGCACCCGGGGAUUCGGAAUCUCUGCCUUUACAGGACAGCAGGAAAGGGUAAGUCAGUGGCUGAUCAACUAUGAGUUUGAGGAGCAAGAUGAAGAAUGUACAUGUUCAAGCCAUAUCAGACCAAGCGGGUUAAGGGUCUAUCAGUGAUGAACUUUUGAAUUCUAUUUUGCCGUUUAGGUCGGCUAGAAAUAAAUGACUUGUAAUAGCGUUUGUAAAUAUUUUUGGGAUCCCAACUAUUUUAAAAGUUUUAAAUAUAUUACAAGUUUAUUUUC